GGCGAACGGGUGAGUAAUGCAUCGGAACGUGCCCAGUCGUGGGGGAUAACGCAGCGAAAGCUGCGCUAAUACCGCAUACGAUCUGUGGAUGAAAGCGGGGGACCUUCGGGCCUCGCGCGAUUGGAGCGGCCGAUGUCAGAUUAGGUAGUUGGUGGGGUAAAGGCUCACCAAGCCAACGAUCUGUAGCUGGUCUGAGAGGACGACCAGCCACACUGGGACUGAGACACGGCCCAGACUCCUACGAGAGGCAGCAGUGGGGAAUUUUGGACAAUGGGCGCAAGCCUGAUCCAGCAAUGCCGCGUGCAGGAAGAAGGCCUUCGGGUUGUAAACUGCUUUUGUACGGAACGAAACGGUCUGAGUUAAUACCUCGGGCUAAUGACGGUACCGUAAGAAUAAGCACCGGCUAACUACGUGCCAGCAGCCGCGGUAAUACGUAGGGUGCAAGCGUUAAUCGGAAUUACUGGGCGUAAAGCGUGCGCAGGCGGUUUUGUAAGACAGGCGUGAAAUCCCCGGGCUCAACCUGGGAACUGCGCUUGUGACUGCAAGGCUGGAGUGCGGCAGAGGGGGAUGGAAUUCCGCGUGUAGCAGUGAAAUGCGUAGAUAUGCGGAGGAACACCGAUGGCGAAGGCAAUCCCCUGGGCCUGCACUGACGCUCAUGCACGAAAGCGUGGGGAGCAAACAGGAUUAGAUACCCUGGUAGUCCACGCCCU
Molecule: ribosomal RNA, 710 nt
Filed under: uncultured Hydrogenophaga sp.
Lineage: Bacteria; Pseudomonadati; Pseudomonadota; Betaproteobacteria; Burkholderiales; Comamonadaceae
Description: bacterial SSU rRNA
Rfam family: Bacterial small subunit ribosomal RNA
Source: RNAcentral